AGUUGGUCCAAGGGUUAUGGAUAUUGUUAAGCUGAUUUAGCACUGUUUCUCCCCACAACCAUCACAGCCAUGCUUGACUAGCUAAAG
Molecule: non-coding RNA, 87 nt
Filed under: Aotus nancymaae (Ma's night monkey)
Lineage: Eukaryota; Metazoa; Chordata; Mammalia; Primates; Aotidae
Source: RNAcentral